CUCUACCUUCUCGUCUGCACCCUCUGAUCUUAUUUAAGAUCUAUUUACACCCUAUGAACUUUACCCUUUGAGUGGAUCAACGAAUGUCCAUAUACCAUUGACCAUUAUGGAUUCAUUUCAAACUUUAUGGCUUUAAACCACUAAUCAGAGUCAGACUUCUGCAUGACAUCUAUGUAGGUGAUCAGAUCCUUGUUAUUCUCAUCG
RNAcentral lists this long non-coding RNA (204 nucleotides) under Elaeis guineensis (African oil palm). Its description in RNAcentral is "long non-coding RNA (EGUI_LNC053222)". Lineage: Eukaryota; Viridiplantae; Streptophyta; Magnoliopsida; Arecales; Arecaceae. The record is from RNAcentral.